GUCAUCUCUUGGGCACAAUGUACCAAAGUCAGACCCCAAAACUCUCUGAAAUGUGGGCAGCACCUCUCUCCCACCUGCUCCCCACUGCAGGUUCUUUGCCUACUGCAAGCACUGGAACAUUACCAUGCCCUGGGGUGGAAGAAGUGACAGAGAAGAUGUUUGAAGAUGUUUUGUUUAUUUUUUCCUGAGUCAUUCGAGUGGUGUUUCCCUAGAGCAGUGCCUAGCUAACAGCCAACACACAAGCCUACAGGUUUCAGGUUUCGUUAUGAACAUGAAACUCCGAGCAGAUUCGCCAGAGGAUGUUUCAAAGAUGCACUCGAUAGCUACAGUCCUGCUGAGACCGUGUCUGAAAUCAGACCUGAAGAGUCUUCGUUCAGCUGAAAACUUCACUGUCUCCCCCAGAGGACUGCACACAGCAUGGAGGAAAGCCUGUUCAUGUUGCUCAAUGCCAGCUUUUUCAAGUCAUGUUCUGAGGAUGUUCUUAUGCACACAGUAACUUCCAAGCUGUCUUCCAUUGAAAUCAGAAAGCUACAACCCUGCACUCCUGAACUCUUUUAUUGAAAUUAAAAGCAUCAGAAAGAGGGGGGAAAAGCCCAAACAUCAGUUCAAAUCUUUUUCCCUUUCUUUUGCAGAGUUGUCAUGCCUUGGUUGUAAAUUAACAUUUUAGGACUUCAGAUGAGAAUGGAGCAUUUGGCUGCCUCAUUUCAUGCUAGAUCAGGAACAGCACAGGAGAGCACUUACUUUGCAAGAAUGGGAUGGGGACUGCUGCCCAGAAAUCUGCCAGUUCUCUUCAGCCUGUGCAGCCCAGCUCUUGGGCCCCUUUCAUCUCAGCCCCUGCUGCAUGGUAACACCUGCUCUGGAACUGCACGGGGAAUGGAGCCGAUAAAGGUAGUGCUUUGCAGACCUGAGUGUGCCGGAGCGCCUUAGCUUUUUGGAUGGCCCUGCUUUCUCUGGCCUGGAUCCAAUACACCACUUAGACAUCUGCUUAACUUUAAGCAUGUGAGUAUCCCCUUUGAAGUCCUAUGUAUAUUGUUUUGGUGGACUGAGGUCAAUGAGCUCAGUACCUUGCAGGAUUGAGCUCCUGAAUGUCAGAUUUGAUUAAAUGCUCCCCCUCCUCCCCCUCCUCUCCUACCAUGAAAGCCUGAUCAGAGCUGAAACAGCCUCAGAAAGAAAAAGGCAGCUGGUGGGAAGUGACUCUGACUCAGCUGUGGUAGCUUGGUCUUAAAUUGUUGCAGAUCUAACCAGAAGAAAAGCAGAGCAAAAAGUCUGAGCAGAGAUCUGGUCAAAAAUGAAACCAUCUCCUCUUCUAUGAGGGGGCUGUGAGAUCUCACAUAGGAGCAGCUAUUCAUCCAUCGCGCUGCCUCUUUCUCUUCAGAUCCCUCUUUUUGUUGCUUCAGGGUCCAGCCGCCACUUUAUCUGAGUGGUGACUGCUCCCCGCUAAUUGUGCUCCCGUUUUCUCCUGUGACUCGGCUCCAAAAUGUGCACUCUGCAAGCGGAAUGAGCUGCGUGCUCUCCCAGUCUGCUACUUGUCAACUCGCAUCAGUUUCAGGUCAGGAAAGCUAACCGGGAACAAGGCGCUGCAGCAUUUGAACUCAACCUUGCUUUGCUGAGGAACAAACUGACAAUUAGUACAGGGAUCAGCAUCAAAAAAGAGCAACCCAGCAUGAAGCCUGUCUAAUUAGUCAUAUGAACGGAGGGCUUCCCCUCCACUUCCUCAAGAACACAUGCCUGUCAGAUCUUAUACCAAGAGACUUCUCUCCCUAACAUAAUACCGAAAUUAGGUUGAGAACAGGUAGCCCGGCUGAAGGGCUUGUGUAAGCAACGGGAGCUCAGCUGCAGCCUUUAGCUUCAUGUGCAUGUCCGUUGCUGCAGCAUCGUCAUGAACACUUGCUUUGCAAGUGAUUGUGGGAUGCUUCUCUCCUUGCAAAACACACCAAAAAAUGGCAUCGAUCAUUUUGCUAAUCCUCUUGAUUUAAUAACGCUUCUUGUUUAGAUGGAAAAAUGAGCAAAGGGAAAAAUGAGAGAUGAAAGCUGAGUGACAGUCUCCUAAUCCUGGAGAAUUGUGCUGUUUGAGAGACUCUGUGCAUCUGACUCUUUCUUUUUUUCAAGUUUGCUUUAUGAACCAAAAUGUCCAUUUGUCUCCUGCAAGACAAAAUAUGUAGCAGCAAAGCUUCAAUUGCUUUUAAUUUUGCUAUAGUGUCUGGGUAGUGGCUCAAACUUGAGAUGAAGUUGGGACCAUGGUGGAUUCGAUCUGUGAACGCAAGAGAAGACCAAAGCUCGUGAAGCUUAAUGGCUUGUCUACAUGGAGACAGGUAGAAAAAGCAGCCAAACGAAUGAAAAGGGUAUGUUUUAUUAGCUAAGCCCCAUUUCAAUUCUUGAGUCAAACUCCUAGUUCAGUUUGUCUUUUAUUGUGGUUCUGAUGAGUUCACUUUGGAAGUGAAGCAAAUGACAUCAAAUAAAAGCAGCCUUGGUUUUAACAAGA
Molecule: long non-coding RNA, 2482 nt
Organism: Numida meleagris (helmeted guineafowl)
Lineage: Eukaryota; Metazoa; Chordata; Aves; Galliformes; Numididae
Exons: 2
Source: RefSeq, a predicted model, not a curated record